AGCGGCGGACGGGUGAGUAACGCGUGAGCAACCUUUCCCAGACAGGGGAAUAACACACCGAAAGGUGUACUAAUACCGCAUAAGACCACGGGAUCACAUGGUUCUGGGGUAAAAGAAUUAUCGGUUUGGGGUGGGCUCGCGUCCGAUUAGGUAGUUGGUGAGGUAACGGCCCACCAAGCCGACGAUCGGUAGCCGACCUGAGAGGUUGAACGGCCACAUUGGGACUGAGAUACGGCCCAGACUCC
RNAcentral lists this ribosomal RNA (245 nucleotides) under uncultured Eubacteriales bacterium. RNAcentral describes it as "uncultured Clostridiales bacterium partial 16S ribosomal RNA". It matches the Rfam family "Bacterial small subunit ribosomal RNA", at positions 94 to 339 of the family's 1533-position model. Lineage: Bacteria; Bacillati; Bacillota; Clostridia; Eubacteriales. The record is from RNAcentral.